UAGAAUCGCCCAUCUAGGUGUUACUGUGAUGGGAUCUUUUUAGAUGUGAUUAUAGUCCAAAAUCAACUGAACAUAAGUAAAAAAGAUUAUCCUAGAUAAUUUGAUUGGGCUUCAUUUAGUUAAAAGGUCUGAAAGCAGCUGAGGCUUCCCAGAGGAAGAAAAUUUGCUUGCAGACCGGCAGUUUCGUCCCAUUCCAGAGAGUUCCAGCUCGCCUUUCCUGACAGCCAGCUCUCCACAUUCCACACUUGUCUAGAGCCUUCCACAAUCCUGUGAGCCAGUCUCUUACAGCCUCUUCUCUCUAGAAAAAUACAUAACUUCCCAUCACCUAAAAAGCUCCAAAACCUUACUCUGUGUCUCGGAAUCCUGGAUGGCCACCAUCUGUGUCUGUGCUGCUGGUCUUAAAACGUGUUAUGGAACAGAGCACUCAACUACUCAACACUUCUCAUGGUGAACUUUCUGACCUGCUUCCAAAUACAAAAAGAGAAUCACACCCUUGCUUUCUCAGUGCUAACUGAAAAUGUACUGCUGCUUUUUGAUUAACAUUAAAAUUAUAUUUUUAUUUAAUUUUCAA
Long non-coding RNA from Suricata suricatta (meerkat), 571 nucleotides. RefSeq lists it as uncharacterized. The record is from RefSeq and is a predicted model, not a curated record. Lineage: Eukaryota; Metazoa; Chordata; Mammalia; Carnivora; Herpestidae. The transcript is spliced from 2 exons.